Non-coding RNA from Truncatella angustata, 97 nucleotides. The record is from the annotation of a RefSeq genome assembly. NCBI's taxonomy places the organism in Eukaryota, Fungi, Ascomycota, Sordariomycetes, Amphisphaeriales, Sporocadaceae.
UGCCCUAUGGCGCAAUUGGCAGCGCGUCAGACUGUUAUUCGGUUUCCAAUCGGACAGUGGCAUCUGGAGGCUCUGAGUUCGACCCUCAGUGGGGCAG